This 2935-nucleotide ribosomal RNA is filed under the name Serratia sp. SSNIH1. Its description in RNAcentral is "bacterial LSU rRNA". It matches the Rfam family "Bacterial large subunit ribosomal RNA". Lineage: Bacteria; Pseudomonadati; Pseudomonadota; Gammaproteobacteria; Enterobacterales; Yersiniaceae. The record is from RNAcentral.
GGGUUGUGAGGUUAAGUGACUAAGCGUACACGGUGGAUGCCUAGGCAGUCAGAGGCGAUGAAGGGCGUGCUAAUCUGCGAAAAGCGUCGGUAAGGUGAUAUGAACCGUUACAACCGGCGAUACCCGAAUGGGGAAACCCAGUGUGUUUCGACACACUAUCAUGUCAUGAAUAGAUAGUGGCAUGAGGCGAACCGGGGGAACUGAAACAUCUAAGUACCCCGAGGAAAAGAAAUCAACCGAGAUUCCCCCAGUAGCGGCGAGCGAACGGGGAGGAGCCCAGAACCUGAAUCGGCUUGUGUGUUAGUGGAAGCGUCUGGAAAGUCGCGCAGUAAAGGGUGAUAGCCCCGUACACUAAAAUGCACAGGUCGUGAGUUCGAUGAGUAGGGCGGGACACGUGACAUCCUGUCUGAAUAUGGGGGGACCAUCCUCCAAGGCUAAAUACUCCUGACUGACCGAUAGUGAACCAGUACCGUGAGGGAAAGGCGAAAAGAACCCCGGCGAGGGGAGUGAAAUAGAACCUGAAACCGUGUACGUACAAGCAGUGGGAGCACCUUCGUGGUGUGACUGCGUACCUUUUGUAUAAUGGGUCAGCGACUUAUAUUUUGUAGCAAGGUUAACCGUAUAGGGGAGCCGUAGGGAAACCGAGUCUUAACUGGGCGAAUAGUUGCAAGGUAUAGACCCGAAACCCGGUGAUCUAGCCAUGGGCAGGUUGAAGGUUGGGUAACACUAACUGGAGGACCGAACCGACUAAUGUUGAAAAAUUAGCGGAUGACUUGUGGCUGGGGGUGAAAGGCCAAUCAAACCGGGAGAUAGCUGGUUCUCCCCGAAAGCUAUUUAGGUAGCGCCUCGUGAACUCAUCUUCGGGGGUAGAGCACUGUUUCGGCUAGGGGGCCAUCCCGGCUUACCAAACCGAUGCAAACUCCGAAUACCGAAGAAUGUUAUCACGGGAGACACACGGCGGGUGCUAACGUCCGUCGUGAAGAGGGAAACAACCCAGACCGCCAGCUAAGGUCCCAAAGUCAUGGUUAAGUGGGAAACGAUGUGGGAAGGCAUAGACAGCCAGGAUGUUGGCUUAGAAGCAGCCAUCAUUUAAAGAAAGCGUAAUAGCUCACUGGUCGAGUCGGCCUGCGCGGAAGAUGUAACGGGGCUAAACCAUGCACCGAAGCUGCGGCAGCGACGCUUAGGCGUUGUUGGGUAGGGGAGCGUUCUGUAAGCCGUUGAAGGUGGCCUGUGAGGGUUGCUGGAGGUAUCAGAAGUGCGAAUGCUGACAUAAGUAACGAUAAAGCGGGUGAAAAGCCCGCUCGCCGGAAGACCAAGGGUUCCUGUCCAACGUUAAUCGGGGCAGGGUGAGUCGACCCCUAAGGCGAGGCUGAAAAGCGUAGUCGAUGGGAAACAGGUUAAUAUUCCUGUACUUGGUGUUACUGCGAAGGGGGGACGGAGAAGGCUAGGCUAGCCGGGCGACGGUUGUCCCGGUUUAAGCGUGUAGGGGGUGUGACCUGGUAAAUCCGGUUGCAUAUCAACCCUGAGGCGUGAUGACGAUGCACUACGGUGCAGAAGUAGUUGAUGCCCUGCUUCCAGGAAAAGCCUCUAAGCUCCAGGUAACAUUAAAUCGUACCCCAAACCGACACAGGUGGUCAGGUAGAGAAUACCAAGGCGCUUGAGAGAACUCGGGUGAAGGAACUAGGCAAAAUGGUGCCGUAACUUCGGGAGAAGGCACGCUGGCAUGUAGGUGAAGUCCCUUGCGGAUGGAGCUGAAGCCAGUCGAAGAUACCAGCUGGCUGCAACUGUUUAAUAAAAACACAGCACUGUGCAAACACGAAAGUGGACGUAUACGGUGUGACGCCUGCCCGGUGCUGGAAGGUUAAUUGAUGGGGUCAGCCGCAAGGCGAAGCUCUUGAUCGAAGCCCCAGUAAACGGCGGCCGUAACUAUAACGGUCCUAAGGUAGCGAAAUUCCUUGUCGGGUAAGUUCCGACCUGCACGAAUGGCGUAAUGAUGGCCAGGCUGUCUCCACCCGAGACUCAGUGAAAUUGAACUCGCUGUGAAGAUGCAGUGUACCCGCGGCAAGACGGAAAGACCCCGUGAACCUUUACUAUAGCUUGACACUGAACAUUGAGCCUUGAUGUGUAGGAUAGGUGGGAGGCUUUGAAGCGUGGACGCCAGUCUGCGUGGAGCCAUCCUUGAAAUACCACCCUUUAAUGUUUGAUGUUCUAACUCGGCCCCAUAAUCUGGGGUGAGGACAGUGUCUGGUGGGUAGUUUGACUGGGGCGGUCUCCUCCCAAAGAGUAACGGAGGAGCACGAAGGUUAGCUAAUCACGGUCGGACAUCGUGAGGUUAGUGCAAAGGCAUAAGCUAGCUUGACUGCGAGAGUGACGGCUCGAGCAGGUACGAAAGUAGGUCUUAGUGAUCCGGUGGUUCUGAAUGGAAGGGCCAUCGCUCAACGGAUAAAAGGUACUCCGGGGAUAACAGGCUGAUACCGCCCAAGAGUUCAUAUCGACGGCGGUGUUUGGCACCUCGAUGUCGGCUCAUCACAUCCUGGGGCUGAAGUAGGUCCCAAGGGUAUGGCUGUUCGCCAUUUAAAGUGGUACGCGAGCUGGGUUUAGAACGUCGUGAGACAGUUCGGUCCCUAUCUGCCGUGGGCGUUGGAAGAUUGAGAGGGGUUGCUCCUAGUACGAGAGGACCGGAGUGAACGCACCACUGGUGUUCGGGUUGUCAUGCCAAUGGCAUUGCCCGGUAGCUAAGUGCGGAAAAGAUAAGCGCUGAAAGCAUCUAAGCGCGAAACUUGCCUCAAGAUGAGUCUUCCCUGGGCCUUUAAGGCCCCUGAAGGAACGUUUAAGACUAAGACGUUGAUAGGCUGGGUGUGUAAGUGCAGCGAUGCAUUGAGCUAACCAGUACUAAUGAUCCGUGAGGCUUAACCUUACAACACCGAAGGUGUUU